Long non-coding RNA from Sus scrofa (pig), 7007 nucleotides. RefSeq lists it as uncharacterized. NCBI's taxonomy places the organism in Eukaryota, Metazoa, Chordata, Mammalia, Artiodactyla, Suidae. The record is from RefSeq and is a predicted model, not a curated record.
CCUGCGUCCUCAUGGAUGCCAGUCAGAUUCAUUUCCACUGAGCCAUGAUGGGAACUCCACUUCUGGGUAUGUUUUCUUGGUGGAAGAGUGUUAGUCUUGCAAUAUGUGGACAUAGUUACCACGAAUGAGGUGGGGGAGGGAUGCCCUUUGAGUUUCUAAUUCUGUCAGCAGCACAGCACAGACCUUUCCUAUUCUGACACCUUUCUGGUGUUUCUCUCUUUCCAAAUGUGAGCCACUGAAGGCUUCAAAGAGCCUCCUUCAACAUGUAUGUCUGAUUUACCGUAUGAGUAACUCUACUAUUUUAUUGUCAGAGCCCCUGGCCAUUGAAAAAAAAGCUGCAUAAAACAAACCCUGGGGGAAAACACGUUUGUUUGACUGGUAGCUUUUGUUUGCAUCUCAGAACUUGAGAGGAUGCUGUUUAUCAUUCCUGUGGGCAGCGCCAACCCCAUGAGAGUGAUUUCACUGUGCAGAUGGUAGAGACGUGCUGUAUUGGAAGGCCUUUGGUUCCUGAAGCCUGUUCUCCAAACACAGUAUGGUGAAAAUAAGGUCAUACACUCUAUUUUUUCCAGAAAGCACUGGAUAUGUAUUAUAUAAAAUAUAGUCCUUGGUUUGGGGUCCUCAUGUUUCAAGAGGUGGCCCAGUUAUCUCCUUGCAAUAACAUCGGUGGUUUUCACAAACCAGCUGAUGGGUGUGUGGGGCUUAAGGUCUUUGGGUUUGGGAGUGGAAACAAGAAAAACAGACUGGGAUGGACUGGAAGCAUGGCUGCUCCUCGAAACUCUCUGACCCUCUCUCAUCUUGUAUCUCUGGAACAUCAGGGAAAACCAAUCAAAAACGGAGGUGCACUGGAGAAUCCGCCUCCCAGGGCAGCCACGUGGACUUUGGAAUUGGGGGCAUCUGGCUGCAUCAAUGGUGAUUCUCCCACUCGCCUGCUGAGCUUGUUAAAAAUGCAGAUUCCUGGGUUCCCUCCCAGGCCUGGGGAGUCAGGAUCCCUGGGUGAGCAUCCUGGAUAACUUAUUUCUCAGCAGGCUGUCCACGUGGCUUGUAAACAGAACCUGCCAGCUCCAGGUCCUGACUGAAGUGCUUCCUUUCAGCUGGGAGGUGAUGUGUGACUGUCCCGUCUCAUAGCCCAGAAGCCAAGGCUUGGCACCCCUGGACUGGCCCUGGCCGCACAGUGAGGGGUGAGCAGGGGUGCCCCGUGCCCUCUGACUUUAGGUCUGUGCCCCUCGGGACCACUCGGCCCUUUCCGUCCUCUGUGCCUUGAGAACUGCCUAACUUGCUCGUGUGCCAGCUUCCUUGUCUGUGAAAGGAGAAUAAACGCCUCUGAAGGGCAAGUUCUGUGCUGGGCAGUCUUGAUAGUGAAGCGGAGUUCGGCCGCCCUGCUUCCUAGGUUACGCGGAACAUCUGUGUUGCUCGAUACUCCAAAUGUGUUAUUUGCACUUAUAGGCAAACAUCAAAGACGGCAACGAUGGUGAUAACGAGGGUAAUGGUAUUUCAUAGAUUGGUACAGCACACUUUCUUUUAUUCCAGCUUUACUGAGGUAAAAUUGAAAAAUAAAAUUGUGUAAACUCAUGUCUGAUGUGCUGAUUCGAUACACAUAUAGACCUCGGAUUGGUUGUCGAGGUUAGUCAGACCCCCGCCACCUCACAUAGUUACCAUUCUUUUUGUGUGGUGAGAACCCUUACAAUCUGCUCUCUAGCAGAUUUCAAGAAUCCAGCACAGAAUUUUUAACUCUAGCCACCAUUCGGCAUGUUAGAGCCCAGAUCUUCUUCCUCCCACAUGGAAAGUUCUUACCUUUGACCAGCAGCUCCUUCUCCCCUUACCCCAGCCCAAGGCCACCACUCUUCCAUCUCUUGCUAUGGAUUUGACUUUUGAAGACUUAUAGAGUAUUUGGUUUUCUCUGUCUGACUUAUUUCUGGAUGGCAGGCUUUCCAGUUCACUGCAGCACUGUUCACAAUAGACAAGGUGUGGAAACAACUUGAGGGUCUGUCGACAGAGGAACGGACAAAGGGAAUAUUACUCAGCUGUAAAAAGGAGGCAGUGCUGCCAUUUGCAAUAGCACAGAUGAACCUUAAGGGCUGGAAGCCAAGGGCAUAAGUCAGGCAGAGAAAGCCAAGUAUAGUAGAGCCUGCAUUCUGAGGCGGCUCCUGCCCUUCUGAGUGAUUUCAUUGUGGCUGAAAGAUCCGGAUCUCUUCCAAUUGGAACAUUUCUCUUUUCUUAAAAUUUUUUUCUUAAAAGUUUUUUCUUAAAAGUUUUUAUCCUGAUGGAGAUGAGCUGUUCUUUUCUUGAGGUCAGGUAUUGAAAGGUCAUCCCAUUGAAACACAAGCACCAGUAGCAAAGAAGCUCUGACUAGUGAUCCCCGCCCCCCAGCCAGUAUGCGUGUUGCUCACAGGUCUCUCCUUGCUGUCUUGGCAAAGAUCACUUGCUAGGAAUCUGGUGUUCUGACUUCUCCCCCUUCAUAGGAUAAAGAGAGUAAAGAAAGUUGUUUGUUUUUAAAAUUAAAACAAUUUAAGGUGACUAAGUAUCCUUUUAAAUUUAAGAGGAGGAACUUAAUUCAAAAGUACACUUAGAGAUUUAUAGCCUGUUGCUGAGGCUAAAUAUGACUAUGUGACCUUUUAUCAUUUUAUUAGUUACUUGGCUAAAGGGUUUGAAUCCAUGUCAAGACUGUUCUUUCCAGCACCACGGGUGACUCAUGUGGAGCUCUGGGUAGGACUGCUCCAGGGCACAGCUGUGACCUAUAUUCCCCAUGCGCUGUCUUUGUACUCACUCUCUCUAAUCUGUUCUCCUGCAGCGUUAGGGUGACGUGAGCUGAUGAAACCCACACGCUGACUGUUGUUAGGGGUUUCAGUAGCUUCCCUAGAAAACUCUUGCUAGCAUGACUGUAAGGGGGCAGAAUCUGAGGCCCCCCUCCUGUACCUGGAGAACAGGUGGUCUCUGCUGGAGGGGCUGGAAAUAUUGGGUGACAGUGGUGACGUCAGGUUGCUUGAAGUGGGGAGACUCUGCUGGCCUGAGAACUCAAAGACAAACCCUCCACUCCUGAGUCAUGCAGUUCCCAUCACAGGAGUCUGCAGGAAAAGGGGGAGAACACCCACCAUGUUUAUUCAACUGAUGUUCAUCCCCCACCUGCUAUUGCCAGGCCCUGGGCUUGGCCCUGUCCAUUCCACACAGGACACAGCAUGACCAGAUCAGAGUCUGGGGACCUGCAAGCAAAUCACCACAGACACAAGUGGGAAAGGGCCGUGGUGACAGGGGCUGCGGGGAGACGGCCCCGUGAGUGGCCCUGACCUGGACAUGGGUUCAGAAGGGACUUUCUUGGGAGUCAUGACUCGGCUAAGCUCUGAAGAAGUGGGAUUUAGCUUGUCAGAGGAUGGAGGAUGUUUUCCAGGUGGCCGGCAAUGACCUGGGGCCCUGUGCUGCUGGUGGGGGUGGGGUGGAUGGACAGCUGUGACCCUGAGGUCGCGGUGGUGAGGAUGUGGUGGCAGUAGGCGCAGACCUCGGAGAGCCCGGGGGCUUUGGAAGGAGGCUGAGGUCAGCUUGGGUUUUAGGUGGAGGUUGAUAUGAUGAGACCUGCCUUGGUCAAGCGCUUUCUAUGGACCACGUGGACAGUGGUUUUCAGGACUCAUUUAGCGGCCACUGGAAGACAGAGAGUUUUUUUGGAAAUAUUAUGAAUUUAGAUGUGUAUAAUGUUGAAUGUGGAGUAUAUACUUUUUUUAAUAAGCUGAUUUUUUUUCACUCUUUUUUUUUUUUGGCUACACUCAAGGCAUGUGGAAGUUCUUUGGUCAGAGAUCGAACCCAAGUCAUGGUAGCGACCUAAGCCACAGCAGUGACAAUGCCGGGUCCUUAACCCACUGAACCCCAGGAGAACUCCCUGGAGUAUCUCUUUCUGAAAACCUCUGGGGGACCCUGAAGGUGACAGGAGAACUCCUUGGAGUAUCUCUUUCUGAAAACCUUUGGGAGACCCUGAAGGUGACUGAGUGUCUAGACAGGGAUCUCUGAAGGGCAGUGGAGCCUGGAUUUAGGCAUUCGGGAGUCUGCAUGGCCAUGGGCACUGGGAGGGUGUGAGGUGAGUGAACUAUCUGUGAACUCUGAGCAACUGCAGCUUAAUGACUGGCUGGAUGAGGACGAGCCAGCAGUGAAGAUGGAGAGGAAAAUGUAGGAGGGAAACCAGGAGAAUCUAGUUUUCCUGGAAACCAACCCAAGGUGUUGUUUCAAGAAGGAGGGGCUAAGACUCAGCGGUGCCAAGUGCUCCAGAUGGUCAAGGGGGAGGACGGGUCAGAUUCCAGGGGACGCAGCAGCCCGGAGAUUCCCAGGAACCGCAGCAGGACAGACGUCAGAAACCGAAGGGAGGUCCAAAUGGAGGGAAACUUUUUACCCAACACAAAAUCUAACAGUGCAUUCAGAGCACCAAGUUCUAAGUGUAGAUCACAAAGAAAUCCUGAGUCCUGGCCUGGCUGAGUUCACGAAGAGACCUGCCCUGGAGUGUGGUGGGAAGGCCUGUACCUUUCUGGACAAACAGGCUGGAGGAAGGGAGGUGGGCAUCCAAGGGCAGAGACCACGUGAUGGGAAGGCCAGACCUAUAGGUGGUCGGGCCACUCGUCCAGCGGGGUCGCAGCUGUUGUGUAUCUGAGGCUGCAAGUGGGGGAGUAGUUCUGGAGCCUCUGAAGUUGGGGGCUGAAGCACAGGAACAAGAGCCCCCUGCUGCCUCCACACCAAGGAGGGGGUCAUGAAACUUCUUGGGUUUCAGGUUUUUCCUGGCCACCCGCGAGACACAUGGAAGUUCCUGGACUAGGGGUCAAACCUGUGUCACAGCGGUGUCUACGCUGGAUCCUUAACCCACUGCACCACCAGGGAACUCCAGGUUCGAGCUUUUUCACUUGAAAAUGAGGCUGCUCCAGAGCCCGCUGUAACCGAGCAAGACCCUAUGAGGCCUUCCCAGGACAGAACCCCCAUGUCCUCCAUCUGUUCUAUUCUGUAGAAAAUGUUAGCUUCCUAGACCUUCCCCAAGUUCCAAAGAAUAAACUUAAUCAGAGAAGUGAGAAAACACAGAAAGAAGGGGAAAGAGUCAAGCAAGACACAAUAACAAUACUUUAGCCAUUAAACAAGGUCAAGGACAUUUAGCUCUUCCUCAAGGGCUGUAGAGAAUGUUCUGCUUUGAAGGUAAUGAAGACCCACCAGGUGGAAGCCGUUAACUAUGAGCGGCCCGUGAACACGUGGACCACAGACCGGUUGGAACCAGAAGGUUGAUGACUUGACUCCCAGGGACCUCGCCACCCACCAAUCAGAAGAACACCCCCUUGCUGAUCACAAACACACUCCCACCCGCUCCCUCACCUUAUCUCAAAAAACCUUCCCCUGAAAGCCUCCGGGAAGUUCGGGUCUUUUAAACACUAACCACCUGACUCCCUGCUUAGUGCCUGCAGGAAAUGCUGCCCUUUCCUUCCCCGCAGCCCGGGGUCAAUAGACUGGCUUCACUGCACCUGGCUGAGCGGACCGGCUUCAGUGCACAUUCAUCCCAAAGCUAUUUGCCAUUUUAAAGUUGCACUAAUUAGCUUCAUCCAGAUUAAUGAUUUUUUCUGUUCCGUUCAGCACAUUAGGAAAUCUCUGUGAUGUCAUCCUCCCUGAAUGAGCAAAUUCUUUGCCCGUUUUUCUAAAAUCAUAUUAUUCUGUCUCUGCCUUGCUUUUGAUCCCUCUGUAUGCAGGGGCGUGGCUGUCCCCAGGCCUCCUCAGUCAGGGAUCAAGUGCAUUAUCUUGGGGUCCUCUCUGUGUCAUCAUGGUCUCUCUGGAACACCAAGGGCCGCAUAAACACGGUCCCGGCACCUUUGAGGAUCUGACAAAGGCUGGCUGUCUUCUCUCAAGACAAGGGCACGGGACCCCCAGUGCCAGGAGGCCCCCAGAGCUACGGCACAGUUGUCCAGAAAGCUGACCCAAUGAGAAAAUGGGCUGCUGUUCGACCACAUUUGGAGAAUUGAUUUCGGCAUCCUGGCACAUCUCUGCUCUUCACACACUAAAUAGCCAGCGAGGAAGAUGACCUCACCUUUUCCCGAAAGCGGAGAUGGUCAGUAGCUGUCUGUCCCGAGGUUGCCAGGGGGUCUGAACGCCAAGCCACAGCCUCCACCGCUGCCCUGGCCCCAAGCUGCUAGUCUAAUUCAUGGGGAGCCUGAACCUCGGUCCUUGUCAGGCUGCAGGGAGAAGCCCACACAAGGGUGAUGCCCAGGAGCUCAGCCAGCUGUGCCCAUGGAGGCUGCGUGGGAAGCUGCACUUCCUUCCCGGCCGGUGGAGAUACCACAUAAGGUUUACUUUACACAUAUUCCUUCUGGGGAGAAAAAUCAUCUGGCCGCAUGAAGAGCAGAAGGAAUGCCAAGUGUCAACGAGCUAUAACAAGCAGGGGAGCAGGUGUAAACAGGAGAAACUUCACCAGGAGUUCCUGUUGUGGCUCAGCGGAUUAAGAACCUGGCAUUUUAUCCAGGAGGGUGCAGGUUCUAUUCCUGGCCUCGCUCAGCAGGUUAAGGAUCUGGCAUUGCUGCAAGCCGAGGGUAGGUCACAGAUGCGGCUCAACGGAUCCUGCGUUGCUGUGGCUGUGGCGUAGGGUAGGUUGGCAGCUGCAGCUCCGAUUCAACUCCUGACCCAUAUACAGUAAGGGCGGCCGUAAAAGAAAAAAAGAAAGAAACUUCACCAGAAUUUGAGCCCUGUUUAUUUACCAACUGAGCAGAUAAAUUAUUCUCUCUGUGUCUAUAAAGUAGGUAAUAUCAUAUCUAUUUUAUUGGAAUACUUCCUGUGAAAGGCUUCAUAAAUUUGUGACGUGCUCUGAGGAUGAAGUAGAGGCUGUUUAUCUGAUCCAAGGAGACAAGAGUAAUUGAAAAAAAUCCUUCAUACAAAAAGGAUGUUGGGAGUUCUUGCCCUGGCGCAGAGGAAACGAAUCCGACUAGGAUCCAAGAGGUUGAGGAUUUGAUCCCUGGCCUCGCUCAGUGGGUUAAGGAUCCAGCGUUGCCAUGAACUGUGGUGUAGUUGCA